AAUACGUUCUCGGGUCUUGUACACACCGCCCGUCAAACCACGAAAGUCGGGAGCGCCCGAAGGCAUGUUUUUAAUAUGACUACGGCGAGUUCGAUGAUCAGGGUU
RNAcentral lists this ribosomal RNA (105 nucleotides) under uncultured bacterium. RNAcentral describes it as "partial 16S ribosomal RNA". It matches the Rfam family "Bacterial small subunit ribosomal RNA", at positions 1365 to 1482 of the family's 1533-position model. The record is from RNAcentral.